UACGUAGGAGGCAAGCGUUGUCCGGAGUUACUGGGCGUAAAGGGCCCGCAGGCGGUGGAGUAAGUUUGGAGUGACAGUUCCCAGCUUAACCGGGAAAGGACUUCGAAAACUGCUCGGCUUGAGGACUGGAGAGGAGUGUGGAAUUCCCGGUGUAGCGGUGAAAUGCGCAGAUAUCGGGAAGAACACCCGUGGCGAAGGCGGCACUCUGGGACGGUACUGACGCUGAGACGCGAAAGCGUGGGGAGCGAACAGG
This 253-nucleotide ribosomal RNA is filed under the name uncultured bacterium. RNAcentral describes it as "partial 16S ribosomal RNA". It matches the Rfam family "Bacterial small subunit ribosomal RNA", at positions 524 to 776 of the family's 1533-position model. The record is from RNAcentral.